This 440-nucleotide long non-coding RNA is filed under the name Setaria viridis. RNAcentral describes it as "long non-coding RNA (SVIR_LNC010744)". The record is from RNAcentral. Lineage: Eukaryota; Viridiplantae; Streptophyta; Magnoliopsida; Poales; Poaceae.
GGAGGUAGUCCGUUUGGGGUAAGUGUGUUUAGGAAUUCUAGGGGAUAGUAGUUAUGAGGGUCAUCUACUACAGAAUCAAAGCUAUGAUAGACCAUUUCCUCUCCUUGGAAUCAUUCGAUCAUCUUUAGAUUGAUGCGGUCUACACACUCAUUACUCAUUGAUAAUAUUGCUCUUGAUACGAUGUAAUUUGGAUCAGUUAGGCUAGCGUUGUCCAUUUGAUAGAUGUUGUCGAUGAGUCUAUCGAGUCCAAAAUCACCCAUCUUAUGUGGAACACAUAUAUUUUUGGGUAGACGUAUCUUACCAUUACCGUUUGUCUCCUCGGUGCCAUUGCCAAUCUGCAGUAGGUAUUUUGCGAACCAUGGGUCAUUUUGAGCUCUCAUGUUGCGCACAAGCUUUAAGUGAUGCAUACAAUCCCAAAGUUCGGACCUGCGCAAUGAUGC